RNAcentral lists this ribosomal RNA (465 nucleotides) under uncultured bacterium. RNAcentral describes it as "partial 16S ribosomal RNA". It matches the Rfam family "Bacterial small subunit ribosomal RNA", at positions 28 to 507 of the family's 1533-position model. The record is from RNAcentral.
GACGAACGCUGGCGGCGUGCUUAACACAUGCAAGUCGAACGGAAAGGCCCCUUUUGGGGUACUCGAGUGGCGCACGGGUGAGUAACACGUGAGUAACCUGCCCUUUACUUCGUGAUAACUUCAGGAAACUGUGGCUAAUACCGGAUAGGAAUCCUUGCUGCAUGGUGGGGGUUGGAAAGCUUCGGCGGUUUUGGAUGGACUCGCGGCUUAUCAGCUUGUUGGUGGGGUAGUGGCUUACCAAGGCUUUGACGGGUAGCCGGCCUGAGAGGGCGAACGGCCACAUUGGGACUGAGAUACGGCCCAGACUCCUACGGGAGGCAGCAGUGGGGAAUAUUGCACAAUGGGCGGAAGCCUGAUGCAGCAACGCCGCGUGCGGGAUGACGGCCUUCGGGUUGUAAACCGCUUUCAGCAGGGGAGAAGCUUGUGGUGACGGUACCUGCAGAAGAAGCACCGGCUAACUACGUG